This 91-nucleotide non-coding RNA is filed under the name bovine gut metagenome. The record is from RNAcentral.
UUGAACUCGGGGUGCUGAUGUGUCCGGGACACAGAGGCUGAGAUCAUACCCAAUGUACCUGAUGCGGGUAAUGCCGCCGUAGGAAACAAUA